CCUACGGGGGGCAGCAGUGAGGAAUAUUGGUCAAUGGACGCGAGUCUGAUCCAGCCAUGUCGCGUGAAUGAUGACUGCCCUAUGGGUUGUAAACUUCUUUUGUAUGGGGAUAAAAGGUUCCACGUGUGGGAUUUUGUAUGUACCAUAUGAAUAAGGAUCGGCUAACUCCGUGCCAGCAGCCGCGGUAAUACGGAGGAUUCGAGCGUUAUCCGGAUUGAUUGGGUUUAAAGGGAACGUAGGUGGAUUGUUAAGUCAAUUGUGAAAGUUCCGGGCUCAACCUUAAGAUUGCAUUUGAAACUGUCAGUCUUGAGUACAGUAGAGGUAGGCGGAAUUCGUGGUGUAGCGGUGAAAUGCUUAGAUAUCAGGAAGAACACCGAUUGCGAAGGCAGCUCACUGGACUGCAACUGACGCUGAGGCUCGAAAGUGUGGGGAGCAAACAGGAUUAGAUACCCGUGUAGUC
RNAcentral lists this ribosomal RNA (460 nucleotides) under uncultured bacterium. RNAcentral's name for it is "partial 16S ribosomal RNA". It matches the Rfam family "Bacterial small subunit ribosomal RNA", at positions 338 to 795 of the family's 1533-position model. The record is from RNAcentral.